RNAcentral lists this ribosomal RNA (253 nucleotides) under uncultured bacterium. RNAcentral's name for it is "partial 16S ribosomal RNA". It matches the Rfam family "Bacterial small subunit ribosomal RNA", at positions 524 to 776 of the family's 1533-position model. The record is from RNAcentral.
UACGUAGGGGGCAAGCGUUGUCCGGAAUUAUUGGGCGUAAAGAGCGCGUAGGCGGUCCGAUAAGUCGGCUGUGAAAGUCAAGGGCUCAACCCUUGAAAGCCGGCCGAUACUGUCGGACUAGAGUCCGGAAGAGGCAAGUGGAAUUCCCGGUGUAGCGGUGAAAUGCGCAGAUAUCGGGAGGAACACCAAUGGCGAAGGCAGCUCGCUGGGACGUUACUGACACUGAGGCGCGAAAGCGUGGGGAGCGAACAGG